This is a long non-coding RNA of Erinaceus europaeus (western European hedgehog), 465 nucleotides long. RefSeq lists it as uncharacterized. NCBI's taxonomy places the organism in Eukaryota, Metazoa, Chordata, Mammalia, Eulipotyphla, Erinaceidae. The transcript has 3 exons. The record is from RefSeq and is a predicted model, not a curated record.
CCCACGGUGCUUGUUUAGUAGCUAGACUACAGGAGCCAGCAACCAGUUUUCCAAAUGCGCCUCCGAAACACCUGGGACACUCGACGCAAACUCGCGGGCCCGGAGGAGCUUUACCGGAGCGGAGCCUCUGAGGGAAGGACCUGGGGAAACGCGAAACAAGUUCCUUCCCCACGGCCCCGGGCUUCUUGGAGGCACAGGCAGGUUUGGAAGACGAGGAUAUAAAGCAGAGGUGACCCUUUAAGUCCCGAAACGACGUCUCUCCGUCCAGAAAUUACCUCCCACCUUAGAGAAGAAGUGGAUUUCCGGUGGAGCAAGUUGAGUGGUGGCAGUGAGACCGUUGAGAUCUACCUAAUAAGAAAGCUUUUCUGAAGCCAACAAUGGUGAAAUGUUCCCAUCACUCAUGAGUACAAUGCAAGACUAUAAAAUUGAUCAGAUGGUUGCAGCAAAAAAAAAAAAGGUGAGUUU